UACAAUAAACAUCUUUGACUUGACUUGACUUGACUGUAUAUGUUAAAGGUACAGAGACUUAAGGUCAUACUGAAGCUUGUCACUUUAAUGACAACAAAGCAUCUCAACCAGGAUGUUGAUAGAGUCUGCUGACGCUGCGAAACUGUGUACGGAACGGGCGUGUAAACAAGUGAGCCUGAAUUCGUCGUAUUGGGCUUCACUUCGUUUCUUGGAAACAAGGAAAUGUCGCAGUAACCUAGAUUUCUAGCUGCAGAUGUAGGUAUAUAUAGCCCUAGUGCAGCAUCACCAUCACAAACACUUGACGUUUUGCAAGAACAAGAUAUCCAAAGAUGACAAAACUCCUCGCCGUUGUAGCCAUGGCCAUGCUGUUGGUGCUGCCCUACGCCCAUGGCAAUGGAGGAAGUUGCUGGGCCCCUCCGUUUGUGUUCGGCUCAACGUGUAGUUCGGACACUUCAAUUUUCGGGAGUCCGGGUCACCGGGUCCGCUACUCAGUCAGCGUCACUGGCAAUGGGGGGACACUCGUGUGCUGUGAGGCCAGAACCUGUGACACCAGAGGCUGCAGACUGAGGAGUAUUGGGUGUGGUAGCUCCACUUUUGGUUCCACUGUCCCUUGGGGGAACAAUCUCGCCACCCCGGCUGUCAAGUGCAAGGGAACGCCUUUCGGAGCCUUCAUCCGCUUUUCACACUGAGAUGGGAUGGAUUUCCGGGUUCUUCCGCUUUACCCACUUUGAUGGGACAGGCUCAUCCGCCUUUGACACCGAGACACGGUGGAAACGAUGUAUGCUGAGUGGAAAAAUCCAAGAACACUUCCUUUUAAUCCAAACAAAAAGCUGAAAUAUUUUGUAUAAUGUUAUACACCAAAGAUGUCAUAUUUUAUAUCGGUUGUGAUAAUAAAACAUGCUAACAAAA
This 909-nucleotide long non-coding RNA is filed under the name Haliotis rufescens (red abalone). RNAcentral describes it as "uncharacterized LOC124120696". The record is from RNAcentral. Lineage: Eukaryota; Metazoa; Mollusca; Gastropoda; Lepetellida; Haliotidae.